Molecule: ribosomal RNA, 438 nt
Filed under: Triticum aestivum (bread wheat)
Lineage: Eukaryota; Viridiplantae; Streptophyta; Magnoliopsida; Poales; Poaceae
Description: partial small subunit ribosomal RNA
Source: RNAcentral
UAAGAGAUUAUUUGCAUCAGGUUCAAGUGAAGUGCCACCUGUGAAGUUGAUUGACAAGGCAGUUGAAUGAAGCCACUUAUUAGCACCUUGCUUGCUCUUCUUUCUUUUUGGAGCCAAAAGAUCCAUCGGCGCUCCACUACUGGGCUUUGAUUUGAAGAGACUGCUGGGAAAGGUUAUCUCGGUCAUCUUCCGUCUGAUACAUAGGUCAAACCAGGACUCACACACUCUCUCGCCGAUAUUUCCCUCCGCUCCCGUGAAUACAUCGUCUUCUACGCACGGCGGCGCCGCCUUGGAUCGGCCCUCCGUCGCGCCGCUUCGGUCGUCACCACGCAUCUCAGCUCCAAUAACCAGGUCGUGAUGGCUGACGAUGAGCUCUAGGUUCAUGGCUCACCAGGCUCCACUGGCUCCACCAACAACUGUCUGCAGGCACUUGCACAG